CUGCUAAGCAAGUAGAGGUUUUUUUUUUUUUUUAUUAGCAAAGCUUUUAUCCUUGACUUAAAAGAAUAGGCAUUUAUUGCCAUUUUGUUUAGACUUUUCAUUUUGGCUUUUAGGUAACUUGACAUGCUGUUGACUCACAAAGGUGGAGGAGGCCCACAAAAGCUAUAUUUUACUGAGUCAUACUAGUCAUCUAAUUGGUGGUUGGUCCAAAAUUGUACAUUUGACAUGAGCAAGGUCUCUUGCUGCACAGCAGAGGGAAAACCAGAAUGAAUACUCCCUGGAAAGCCCAUCUGAGAAAAGGCACCCCAGAAGGGGGCUCAUUCAGGUGUUGCAUUUUCUUCUCUGGAGAUUGUCCACCAAAUACAUCACUUCACUCUGUCAUACAGCAGUAUGUAUAAUACAAUACUAGGAUGACCCAAGAAGAAAUGCUACCUGGAUAGUUUGAUGAUGGUAAAACUUUUACUUUUUGAUAUAUACCCAUAACACUAAACAUGUACUAAUAACUUCAGUAUAAACCCCUCAGCAAUUGG
Molecule: long non-coding RNA, 530 nt
Filed under: Vulpes vulpes (red fox)
Lineage: Eukaryota; Metazoa; Chordata; Mammalia; Carnivora; Canidae
Description: lncRNA (ENSVVUG00000019166.1)
Source: RNAcentral